RNAcentral lists this ribosomal RNA (646 nucleotides) under Corynebacterium diphtheriae. Its description in RNAcentral is "bacterial SSU rRNA". It matches the Rfam family "Bacterial small subunit ribosomal RNA", at positions 896 to 1533 of the family's 1533-position model. The record is from RNAcentral. Lineage: Bacteria; Bacillati; Actinomycetota; Actinomycetes; Mycobacteriales; Corynebacteriaceae.
AAAACUCAAAGGAAUUGACGGGGGCCCGCACAAGCGGCGGAGCAUGUGGAUUAAUUCGAUGCAACGCGAAGAACCUUACCUGGGCUUGACAUAUGCAGGAUCGGCGUAGUGAUACGUUUUCCCUUGUGGUCUGUAUACAGGUGGUGCAUGGUUGUCGUCAGCUCGUGUCGUGAGAUGUUGGGUUAAGUCCCGCAACGAGCGCAACCCUUGUCUUAUGUUGCCAGCACGUGAUGGUGGGGACUCAUGAGAGACUGCCGGGGUUAACUCGGAGGAAGGUGGGGAUGACGUCAAAUCAUCAUGCCCCUUAUGUCCAGGGCUUCACACAUGCUACAAUGGUCGGUACAACGCGCUGCGAGCCUGUGAGGGUGAGCGAAUCGCUGAAAGCCGGCCUCAGUUCGGAUUGGGGUCUGCAACUCGACCCCAUGAAGUCGGAGUCGCUAGUAAUCGCAGAUCAGCAACGCUGCGGUGAAUACGUUCCCGGGCCUUGUACACACCGCCCGUCACGUCAUGAAAGUUGGUAACACCCGAAGCCAGUGGCCUAACCCUUGUGGGGGGAGCUGUCGAAGGUGGGAUCGGCGAUUGGGACGAAGUCGUAACAAGGUAGCCGUACCGGAAGGUGCGGCUGGAUCACCUCCUUUCUAAGGAG